CGGGAGGAUCAUUAUUGAGAGGAAGGUUUUCACGCCUUCGCGGCGCAGCUGCGCCCGACAUCUUCACCCUCGAUGUGUACCGACCACUCGUNUGCUUUGGCGGGUAUGAAGAGCCUAAACCGCCGUUCUAUCGAAUCCCGCCGAAGACCCUUUUUUCCAAAUCUUAUGUCANAUGCAGUCUGAGUCUUCUAAGCAAUCAAAAAUUAAAAAACUUUCAACAACGGAUCUCUUGGUUCUGGCAUCGAUGAAGAACGCAANGAAAUGCGAUANGUAAUNUGAAUUGCANAANUCAAUGAAUCAUCGAAUCUUUGAACGCACAUUGCGCCCCUUGGUAUUNCGAGGGGCAUGCCUGUUCGAGCGUCAUUGCAACCCUCAAGCUCAGCUUGGUAUUGAGUGAUGCGACGCCCUGUCAUGGGGCCCGCAGACUCGAAAACUACGUGGCAGUCCAGGUAGAGCUUCAAGCGCACGUAAACCUCCUGCGCUUUGGAAGCCUCUUACCCCGCGACUUCGCCGAGAACCCCCCUAUAUAUACUCAAUGAUUGACCUCGGAUCANGCAGGGAUACCCGCUGAAC
Molecule: ribosomal RNA, 573 nt
Filed under: Sirenophila cliffwetmorei
Lineage: Eukaryota; Fungi; Ascomycota; Lecanoromycetes; Teloschistales; Teloschistaceae
Description: eukaryotic LSU rRNA
Rfam family: 5.8S ribosomal RNA (bases 210-363)
Source: RNAcentral